This 1180-nucleotide ribosomal RNA is filed under the name Paenarthrobacter nitroguajacolicus. RNAcentral describes it as "bacterial SSU rRNA". It matches the Rfam family "Bacterial small subunit ribosomal RNA", at positions 158 to 1350 of the family's 1533-position model. The record is from RNAcentral. Lineage: Bacteria; Bacillati; Actinomycetota; Actinomycetes; Micrococcales; Micrococcaceae.
UGGGUCUAAUACCGGAUACGACCAUCUGGCGCAUGUCAUGGUGGUGGAAAGCUUUUGUGGUUUUGGAUGGACUCGCGGCCUAUCGGCUUGUUGUUGGGGUAAUGGCCUACCAAGGCGACGACGGGUAGCCGGCCUGAGAGGGUGACCGGCCACACUGGGACUGAGACACGGCCCAGACUCCUACGGGAGGCAGCAGGGGGGAAUAUUGCACAAUGGGCGCAAGCCUGAUGCAGCGACGCCGCGUGAGGGAUGACGGCCUUCGGGUUGUAAACCUCUUUCAGUAGGGAAGAAGCGAAAGUGACGGUACCUGCAGAAGAAGCGCCGGCUAACUACGUGCCAGCAGCCGCGGUAAUACGUAGGGCGCAAGCGUUAUCCGGAAUUAUUGGGCGUAAAGAGCUCGUAGGCGGUUUGUCGCGUCUGCUGUGAAAGACCGGGGCUCAACUCCGGUUCUGCAGUGGGUACGGGCAGACUAGAGUGCAGUAGGGGAGACUGGAAUUCCUGGUGUAGCGGUGAAAUGCGCAGAUAUCAGGAGGAACACCGAUGGCGAAGGCAGGUCUCUGGGCUGUAACUGACGCUGAGGAGCGAAAGCAUGGGGAGCGAACAGGAUUAGAUACCCUGGUAGUCCAUGCCGUAAACGUUGGGCACUAGGUGUGGGGGACAUUCCACGUUUUCCGCGCCGUAGCUAACGCAUUAAGUGCCCCGCCUGGGGAGUACGGCCGCAAGGCUAAAACUCAAAGGAAUUGACGGGGGCCCGCACAAGCGGCGGAGCAUGCGGAUUAAUUCGAUGCAACGCGAAGAACCUUACCAAGGCUUGACAUGAACCGGAAAGACCUGGAAACAGGUGCCCCGCUUGCGGUCGGUUUACAGGUGGUGCAUGGUUGUCGUCAGCUCGUGUCGUGAGAUGUUGGGUUAAGUCCCGCAACGAGCGCAACCCUCGUUCUAUGUUGCCAGCGCGUAAUGGCGGGGACUCAUAGGAGACUGCCGGGGUCAACUCGGAGGAAGGUGGGGACGACGUCAAAUCAUCAUGCCCCUUAUGUCUUGGGCUUCACGCAUGCUACAAUGGCCGGUACAAAGGGUUGCGAUACUGUGAGGUGGAGCUAAUCCCAAAAAGCCGGUCUCAGUUCGGAUUGGGGUCUGCAACUCGACCCCAUGAAGUCGGAGUCGCUAGUAAUCGCAGAUC